GAUGUUGCGUGGAGAACGCUGGCGGCAGGCCUAACACAUGCAAGUCGAACGGUAACAGGAAGAAGCUUGCUCUUUGCUGACGAGUGGCGGACGGGUGAGUAAUGUCUGGGAAACUGCCUGAUGGAGGGGGAUAACUACUGGAAACGGUAGCUAAUACCGCAUAACGUCGCAAGACCAAAGAGGGGGACCUUCGGGCCUCUUGCCAUCGGAUGUGCCCAGAUGGGAUUAGCUAGGUAGGUGGGGUAACGGCUCACCUAGGCGACGAUCCCUAGCUGGUCUGAGAGGAUGACCAGCCACACUGGAACUGAGACACGGUCCAGACUCCUACGGGAGGCAGCAGUGGGGAAUAUUGCACAAUGGGCGCAAGCCUGAUGCAGCCAUGCCUGCGUGUAUGAAGAAGGCCUUCGGGUUGUAAAGUACUUUCAGCGGGGAGGAAGGGAGUAAAGUUAAUACCUUUGCUCAUUGACGUUACCCGCAGAAGAAGCACCGGCCUCCUAACUCUCGUGCCAGCAGCCGGGUAACGAAUACGGAGGUGCAAGCGUUAAUCGGAAUUACUGGGCG
This 561-nucleotide ribosomal RNA is filed under the name Escherichia coli. RNAcentral's name for it is "bacterial SSU rRNA". It matches the Rfam family "Bacterial small subunit ribosomal RNA", at positions 15 to 560 of the family's 1533-position model. Lineage: Bacteria; Pseudomonadati; Pseudomonadota; Gammaproteobacteria; Enterobacterales; Enterobacteriaceae. The record is from RNAcentral.